RNAcentral lists this ribosomal RNA (253 nucleotides) under uncultured bacterium. RNAcentral's name for it is "partial 16S ribosomal RNA". It matches the Rfam family "Bacterial small subunit ribosomal RNA", at positions 524 to 776 of the family's 1533-position model. The record is from RNAcentral.
UACGUAGGUGGCAAGCGUUGUCCGGAUUUACUGGGCGUAAAGAGCGCGCAGGCGGUCGUUCAAGUCGCGUGUGAAAGCCCCCGGCUCAACUGGGGAGGGUCACGCGAUACUGAUCGACUCGAAGGCAGGAGAGGGUAGUGGAAUUCCCGGUGUAGUGGUGAAAUGCGUAGAUAUCGGGAGGAACACCCGUGGCGAAGGCGACUACCUGGCCUGUUCUUGACGCUGAGGCGCGAAAGCUAGGGGAGCAAACGGG